This 99-nucleotide non-coding RNA is filed under the name Fructobacillus fructosus. RNAcentral describes it as "TPP sequence". It matches the Rfam family "TPP riboswitch aptamer (THI element)". Rfam says of the family: Vitamin B(1) in its active form thiamin pyrophosphate (TPP) is an essential coenzyme that is synthesised by coupling of pyrimidine and thiazole moieties in bacteria. The record is from RNAcentral. Lineage: Bacteria; Bacillati; Bacillota; Bacilli; Lactobacillales; Lactobacillaceae.
ACGUCCGUUUAGGGGAGCUCCUUGGAGCUGAGAGUGCGCAAGCCGACCCUUCGAACCUGUUGUGUUAAGACACGCGUAGGGAAAACAGAAAAGACUAAG